CCAGAUUGAUCCUGCCAGUAGCAUUUGUUUGUGUCUAAGAUUAAGCAAUGCACUUGUAAGCACAUACGGCCAGUAUAGUGAAAUUGCAAAUGGCUCAUUAAAUCAGUCAUGCUUUCUUUGAUUGCUCCAUCUGUUACUUGGAUAACUGUGAUAAUGCUAGAGCUGAUAAAUGCCAACGAGUGUUGACCUCGUGGGAUUGGUGCAUUUAUCAGACCAAGACCACUCUGGGCUCAAUCCGCCGCAAUGAUUACUCUAGAUGACCAUGGGCCAAUACGUGUGUAUGCCUACAUGUGUAUGCCUACUCUAUCAAGUUUCUAUGGUACUUUCUAGGCCUACCAUGGUGAUCACAGAUAACUGGGAAUAAGGGCUCAAUUCCAGAGAGGGAUCCUGAAAAAUGGCUACCGGAUGCAAGGAAGGCAGCAGGUGCCCAAUUUACCCACUCCCGGCUUGAGGUGGUAGUGACAAAAAAUAACAGUACAGGAAACAUAUGAGUCAUGAUAAUUGGAAUGAGUAAACUUUUAAUAUUUUAAUGAGGAUACAUUGGAGCGCAAGUCUGGAGCCAGCAGUCACCGUAAUUCCAGCUCCAGAAGCGUAUGUCAUGUUGCAGCAGUAAGAACCUCGUAGCUGGAUAUUGGGAUCGAGAUGCCAGUCCACCGUGAGGCGACCUACUGCCUGUCCCAGCCCAAGCCUCUCAACACCCCCUUGAUGCUCUUGACUUAGUGUCCAGGGGGCCCAGAGCAUUUAUUUUAGAAAAAUGUGAGUAUUGAAAGCAGGGCAUUGCAUGAAUACGUGAUCUCUGAAUAAUGGAGUAGGUUUUUGGGACUGGCAUCAUGAUCAAGAAGGAUGGCUGGGGGCAUUCGUAUUUUGCCACAAGAGUGAAAGCAUUAGUCAUGAAUCUUUUUAUUUUUCAAGAAUUUUAAUAUUUUAAUUGAAGGUUCGUACAUGAUCAGAUACUGUCAUAGGUCCGACCAUAAACGAAGAUGACUUGCGAUCCGGCAGCGUAAUUACCAUGACCUGCAUAGCAGUUUCCAGGUAACCAAAAUCGUUGGGUUCUAGGGGGAGUAUGGUUGCAAAGCUGUAAGUUAAAGGAAUCCAUGCAAGGGCCCUACCAGGAGUGGAGCCAGUGGCUUCAUUUGAAUGAACAUGAGAAACCUCACCCAGUCUAGACAUAGAGGCGUUCAACUGCUUAAAGGGAGAAGUGCAUUCAGCCACUUGAGAUCGAGCAAUUAUAGGUCUGUGAUGGCCUUAGAUGCCUAGGGCUGCACAUGCACUAGACUGAACAGAUCAGCGUAUGUCAACCCUUACAUGACAGGUGCAGGUAACCCACUGCACCCCGUUCAUGGUAGGGAAUGGGGAUUGCAAUUAUUUCCCAUGAACAAGGAAUUUCCAGUAAAUUUGGGCCAUAAACUCAAGUUGAUUAAGUCCAUGCCCUUUGUAAACAUUGCUGGUCAUUACUACUGAUUGGAUGAUUUAGUGAGGCCCUCAGAUUGGUCACCCAAGGGCCGGCAAUGACCCUGGCAGAGCGCUGAGAAGACAAUCAUUUAGACAAUCAAACUUGACUAUCCUUAGGAAGUAAAAGUCGUAACAAGGUUUCUGUAGGUGAACUUGCAAAAG
Molecule: ribosomal RNA, 1614 nt
Filed under: Ambystoma mexicanum (axolotl)
Lineage: Eukaryota; Metazoa; Chordata; Amphibia; Caudata; Ambystomatidae
Description: SSU rRNA
Rfam family: Eukaryotic small subunit ribosomal RNA
Source: RNAcentral